UACAUUUCAAAUGUUAUUCCCUCGCCUGGU
RNAcentral lists this non-coding RNA (30 nucleotides) under Mus musculus (house mouse). The record is from RNAcentral. Lineage: Eukaryota; Metazoa; Chordata; Mammalia; Rodentia; Muridae.